AUGGGCACCCAGGAUCACCCAGGACACCCCCAACAAGGCUCCAGAACAUCUCUACCACCCCUGAGGGGCACCCAGGAUCUCCCAAGACCUCCCAAACGCUCUGGAUGGGCACCCAGGAUCUCUGAGGACCUGCCCACUGCCUCCAAUGGGCCACCAGGGCCCAUCUCCAGCCACGGCCACCCCGGGUGGGCGCCCGCCUCGGCGUUGGCGCCACGGGUUACCUUCUCCUGCAGGGCCUCGCGCAUCUCCUGGAUGCCGGUGCGCUUGAUGAAGUCGGGCAGCUCGAAGGGUGGCUUCUCGAUGCCCCUCUUGCCCUGCAGGUACUUGCGCUUGAAGCACCAGUGCCGGGGGACGGGCACCGAGUUGCGGGUGGCCUUGAGGUGCACCAGGAGCUUGGGGUCCUGCGCCGUCACGUCGUGCAUCUCCACCACGUCGGGGCGUGCCACCAGCUGCCGGGGUACAGGCGGGCGCCGGUGUCACCCUCGGGGUGUCGCCGGCACGGGGCUCGCCGGGCAGGCAGGGGGGACCCCGAUGUCGUCUACAUGGUAUGGGGCACCCCGGGGUGACACGGUUGUCCCCAGGUGGGCACACGGGUGUCACGUCCUCUACAAGGUGGGCACAGGGCACCUUGGGGUGGCACAGCUGUCCCCAGGCGGGCACACGGGUGUCGUGUCCUCUACAAGGCGGGCACAGGGCACCUUGGGGUGGCACAGCUGUCCCCAGGUGGGCACACGGGUGUCACGUCCUCUACAAGCUGGGCACAGGGCACCUCGGGGUGGCACAGCUGUCCCCAGGUGGGCACACGGGUGUCAUGUCCUCUACAAGGUGGGCACAGGGCACCUCGGGGUGGCACAGCUGUCCCCAGGUGGGCACACGGGUGUCACGUCCUCUACAAGGUGGGCACAGGGCACCUCGGGGUGGCACAGCUGUCCCCAGGUGGGCACACGGGUGUCAUGUCCUCUACAAGGUGGGCACAGGGCACCUUGGGGUGGCACAGCUGUCCCCAGGUGGGCACACGGGUGUCAUGUCCUCUACAAGCUGGGCACAGGGCACCUCGGGGUGGCACAGCUGUCCCCAGGUGGGCACACGGGUGUUGUGUCCUCUACAAGGUGGGCACAGGGCACCUCGGGGUGGCACAGCUGUCCCCAGGUGGGCACACGGGUGUCACGUCCACCCCGAGGCGGGCAGAGGACACCACGUCCCCUCACCUGCUUCAGCUCGGCCACGGUGAAGCGGUUCAUGCGCCGCAGCUUCUUCUUCGACAGCUUGGGCACCUCGGGCUUCUUCUCCUGCCAACRGCACCCCGGGGUGUCAGGGACAGGGUGCCAGUGGGUCCUGCCACCCCUGGCCCCUCAGCGCGUCCCCUCUGCUCCCUGUCACCCUGGUGCCCACCACGGUCCCAGUCUGCACCACAGUGUCCAUUCUAGUGCUCAUCUCCACCAUGAUGUCCGGUCCAGYCCACAUCCCACCCAUGGUUCCCACCAUGGUCCCCAUCUCUGCCAUGGUGCCCAUCUCCACCACGAUGGACAUCACGGUUCCUGA
This 1542-nucleotide long non-coding RNA is filed under the name Apteryx haastii (Great spotted kiwi). Its description in RNAcentral is "lncRNA (ENSAHAG00000007438.1)". The record is from RNAcentral. Lineage: Eukaryota; Metazoa; Chordata; Aves; Apterygiformes; Apterygidae.